AUUGAACGCUGGCGGCAGGCCUAACACAUGCAAGUCGAGCGGAUGAAGGGAGCUUGCUUCUGGAUUCAGCGGCGGACGGGUGUGUAAUGCCUAGGAAUCUGCCUGGUAGUGGGGGAUAACGUCCGGAAACGGGCGCUAAUACCGCAUACGUCCUGAGGGAGAAAGUGGGGGAUCUUCGGACCUCACGCUAUCAGAUGAGCCUAGGUCGGAUUAGCUAGUUGGUGGGGUAAAGGCCUACCAAGGCGACGAUCCGUAACUGGUCUGAGAGGAUGAUCAGUCACACUGAAACUGAGACACGGUCCAGACUCCUACGGGAGGCAGCAGUGCGGAAUAUUAGACAAUGGGCGAAAGCCUGAUCCAGCCAUGCGGCGUGUGUGAAGAAGGUCUUCUGAUGGUAAAGCACUUUAAGUUGGGAGGAAGGGCAGUAAGUUAAUACCUUGCUGUUUUGACGUUACCAACAGAAUAAGCACCGGCUAACUUCGUG
This 484-nucleotide ribosomal RNA is filed under the name uncultured bacterium. RNAcentral describes it as "partial 16S ribosomal RNA". It matches the Rfam family "Bacterial small subunit ribosomal RNA", at positions 30 to 507 of the family's 1533-position model. The record is from RNAcentral.